UUUUUUUAGUUAUUUUUAAAGAUAUUUUCUGCCCUAUGAUUAUUUAAAUGGCCGCAGUAUUUUGACUGUGCAAAGGUAGCAUAAUAAUUAGUUUUUUAAUUGAGGACUUGUAUGAAUGGAUAAAUGAGGUAUCUUUUUUAUUUUUUAUAUUAAUAGAAUUUUAUUUUUAGGUAAAAAAGCUUAAUUUUUUUUUAGGGACGAUAAGACCCUGUAGAACUUUAUAACUUAAUUUUUUAUAUUAUUUUUGGUUUACUUUUUUAUUUAUUAGGUUAUUUAAUUGGGGUGAUUAGUAAAUUAAUAAACUUUAUUUUAUAAUUCAUUUAUAAAUGUUUUUUUUGAUCCUUAUAAUUUAUGAUUAAUAGAUUAGUUACCUCAGGGAUAACAGCGUAAUUCUAAUUGAAAGUUCUUAUUAAUAUUUGAGUUUUCGACCUCGAUGUUGAAUUAAGGAAAUUAUGGGUGUAGAAGCUCAUUUUUAAGUCUGUUCGACUUUUAAAUCCUUACA
RNAcentral lists this ribosomal RNA (502 nucleotides) under Youngolidia unica. Its description in RNAcentral is "partial large subunit ribosomal RNA". The stretch from base 378 to 502 matches the Rfam family "Bacterial large subunit ribosomal RNA", at positions 2473 to 2600 of the family's 2925-position model. The record is from RNAcentral. Lineage: Eukaryota; Metazoa; Arthropoda; Insecta; Hemiptera; Cicadellidae.